AAUGCUCCGCACUGGGGAAGGAUGAGAAGCUUCGAUAAGGUUCGAGUCUCACGCAGUGAGACAACGCGCUUCAGCGCGGCCCGCAGGGUGAG
RNAcentral lists this small RNA (92 nucleotides) under Serratia marcescens. RNAcentral describes it as "partial RtT sRNA". It matches the Rfam family "RtT RNA", at positions 1 to 95 of the family's 130-position model. Rfam says of the family: This family represents a bacterial cis-regulatory element known as RtT RNA. The exact function of RtT is unknown although it is thought that it may be involved in changing the cellular response in relation to amino acid starvation. Lineage: Bacteria; Pseudomonadati; Pseudomonadota; Gammaproteobacteria; Enterobacterales; Yersiniaceae. The record is from RNAcentral.